This 205-nucleotide long non-coding RNA is filed under the name Prunus persica (peach). Its description in RNAcentral is "long non-coding RNA (PPER_LNC006767)". The record is from RNAcentral. Lineage: Eukaryota; Viridiplantae; Streptophyta; Magnoliopsida; Rosales; Rosaceae.
AACUAUUAGAAAAGUGUUGGUGGGACCAUAUGCUUCUACUAUUAAAUGUAUUAUUAUUUAUAAAGAUGAAUUGGCACCUUAAAAUGGUGCCUUUUUAAAAAGAAAAAAUUAAAAUUAAAAUACAUUUGUUGUUCACUUUGGCACGGAUAAGUGAUGGUGACUGUUCCAUGGGCACAAUAGAAGUGAUAACUAGGGCUGGGCACGG